AUACGUAUGUCGCGAGCGUUAUCCGGAAUUAUUGGGCAUAAAGGGCAUCUAGGCGGCCUUUCAAGUCAGGGGUGAAAACCUGCGGCUCAACCGCAGGCCUGCCUUUGAAACUGAUAGGCUGGAGUACCGGAGAGGUGGACGGAACUGCACGAGUAGAGGUGAAAUUCGUAGAUAUGUGCAGGAAUGCCGAUGAUGAAGAUAGUUCACUGGACGGUAACUGACGCUGAAGUGCGAAAGCCGGGGGAGCGAACAGGAUUAGAUACCCUGGUAGUCCCGGCCGUAAACGAUGAUUACUGGGUGUGGGCAGGAAGACUGUCUGUGCCGAAGCGAAUGCGAUAAGUAAUCCGCCUGGGGAGUACGGCCGCAAGGCUGAAACUCAAAGGAAUUGACGGGGACCCGCACAAGCGGUGGAGCAUGUGGUUUAAUUCGACGCAACGCGAGGAACCUUACCAGAUCUUGACAUCCCG
Molecule: ribosomal RNA, 467 nt
Filed under: uncultured bacterium
Lineage: Bacteria
Description: bacterial SSU rRNA
Rfam family: Bacterial small subunit ribosomal RNA
Source: RNAcentral